Molecule: long non-coding RNA, 2527 nt
Organism: Bos taurus (domestic cattle)
Lineage: Eukaryota; Metazoa; Chordata; Mammalia; Artiodactyla; Bovidae
Source: Ensembl
CAAUGGCACCCCACUCCAGUACUCUUGCCUGGAAAAUCCCAUGGAUGGAGGAGCCUGGUAGGCUGCAGUCCAUGGGGUCACUGAGUAAGACAUGACUGAGUGACUUCACUUUCACUUUUCACUUUUCAUGCAUUGGAGAAGGAAAUGGCAACCCCUUCCAGUGUUCUUGCCUGGAGAAUCCCAGGGACGGGGGAGCCUGUUGGACUGCCGUCUGUGGGGUUGCACAGAGUCGGACACGACUGAAGUGACUUAGUUUAGCAGAGCAUGAGGACAGUAGAUGGCAUUAUGAGAGAAAAAUGAAGUGAUAGUUCUUCAAGAACUGUCUUGUUUAGACAAAGAAAGUCUUUUUUUUUUUUUUUUAAUUCAGGUCACCCAGAUUUUUCUCCAGGUUCUGCUGACUGAUCUACCUUAUACUUCCACUAUUUAAUUCCACACCAGUUUGAACAGAGAAUUCACUUUUUUGUCUUGUGUAAUGCACUUGUGUACAAAGUUCUCAGUCUUCUGCGCUUAUCGCGGUUUGCCUUGCACAGAGCAUUCGUGACUUUUUGUCAGUUUACCCUUGCCUUACUAUCUGGAGAGUGAAGGCUGCUGUCAUCCUUGGUCAGGUUGGGCUGACUUCUGUGCGGGCCCAGCAGUGCCCUCUCUGGCCCCUCUCUAUUUCUUUGUACCUGCUCUUACCACAAACAGCAGCGUUCUUGCCCAUGGGAACAAUUUUCACGCUCCUGGAGUCCCUUGUGAUAUGAGUCUAAGACUAAACUGCUGUCCCUUUGUAUGGAGUCCUGGGUAUCAAACUAUUGCCACGUCAAGUUUUCUUUAUAUAGGUCAGUUUUUGUGGAAGGUCUAGACACUUCAGAGAAUGGAGGGCUAUAUAAAAUGUAUAUAUUUUAUACUAUAUAUGAAUUAUAUCGGGAUUAAAGAUACUUACAUUUUCUAUAGCCUUUUUGGUCCAUAUGCUUAGUCAUGAUUUGAGAGAGAGAGGGAUACUUUUCAUUGCAAGUAAGAAAAACUUCAAAUGAAAUAAAUUUAAAGUUUAAAGAAGGUACAAAGUUGGUGAGCUCCAGCCACAGUUCUAUCAGGAUGGCUGCGUGUUGCCGUGUUCAUGUCCAGCACAACAGAAACUGAGGAAGACUCUCCUUCAGCCAUGGAACUGCUGGGCAAGAGGAUAGAGUGCCGAAUAGCCAGAUGCUUUAAUUCCAUUUUUAGCAAUGAAGUUUGUGCAUGUGAAACAUGCAUGUGGAACCACCUGGUUAGAAGGUUUUUUCCAACACUGUCAAAGCCUCUUCAGGAACAAAGCAAAGUCACCGCUCCGAAAAGUUCCAAAACCACUGCUGAUGGUGACUGCAGCCAUGAAAUUAAAAGACGCUUGCUCCUUGGAAGAAAAGCUAUGACCAGCCCAGACAGCAUAUUAAAAAGCAGAGACAUUCAUUACUUUGCCAACAUAGGUCUGUCUAGUCACGGCUAUGGUUUUGCCAGUAGUCAUGUAUGGAUGUGAGAAUUGGACUAUAAAGAAAGCUGAACACUGAAGAAUUAAUGCUUUUGAACUGUGGUGUUGGAGAAGACUCUUGAGUGUCCCUUGGACUGCAAGGAUAUCCAACCAGUCCAUCCUAAAGGAGCUUAGUCCUGAAUAUUCAUUGGAAGGACUGAUGCUGAAUCUGAAACGCCAAUACUUUGGCCACCUGGUGCAAAGAACUGACUCACUGGAAAAGACCCUGAUUCUGGGAAAGAUUGAAGGCAGGAGGAGAAGGGAUGAGGUGGUUGGGUGGUAUCACCAACUCAAUGGACAUGAGUUUGAGUAAACUCCAGUUGGUGAUGAACAGGGAAGCCUGGCAUGCUGCAGUCCAUGGGGUCACAAAGAGUCAGACAUGACUGAGCGACUGAACUGAACUGAUUUUGUUAGAAAAUCUUUGCAUUAAAUAUUUAAGAAAACAUGGUCAAUUGAGUCAGCUUGUGAUUCCAAUUGUAAGAUGUGUAAUUGAUUUAAUUUGAUUUUAACCUGAAAUCAAACUUAAUUUUUAGAUGUAUAAGAAUUAUAUGAGCACCUUGGAUUAUUUGUCAGAUGUUUAAAUAUUUAAAAUACUUUUUAAAAUGCUUAAACAAGCGUCAUGGAGCAAGCUAGUUAAUGGACUGAAUAAAAGGAUCCUUUAAAAAUUGAUUAAAAUUUGCUAGACUUACAAAUAAAAUAAUGUCUUAAAGUCAGCUUAAGUCCUUAGGAAUUUUGAAUUUCUAACUUUACUAAGUGAAACAUUUUAAAAACCAAAGUGUUCUCUGAAUGUUCUCUCUUGUAUCCCCGGGCUGCCCUGGACAGUAUUACAGAACUCACAUUAACAGAGUCUGCUGCCCUUGUGUUCCAGUCUGGACUGAUUGCUCUCUAAGCCUGCUGCCCCUACUUACCUGUGUUAGCUUCAUGUGACCCAGACUCUGUACACAUGCGUUCCUCUGAAUCUCAAGGCCACACCCAUCACACUAAAAGGAUUCAGCAUUCUUUCAGGAAGGAGGAAGGGCAAACAUGUCAGGGGCUGGGUAAGAA